AUUAGCUAGUUGGUGAGGUAACGGCUCACCAAGGCAACGAUGAUUAGCUGGUCUGAGAGGAAGGUCAGCCACACUGGAACUGAGACACGGUCCAGACUCCUACGGGAGGCAGCAGUGGGGAAUUUUGCGCAAUGGGCGAAAGCCUGACGCAGCAACGCCGCGUGAGUGAUGAAGGUUUUCGGAUCGUAAAGCUCUGUCAGAGGGGAAGAACCACCCGGGUGCUAAUAUCGCUCGGGCCUGACGGUACCCUCAAAGGAAGCACCGGCUAACUCCGUGCCAGCCGCCGCGGUAAUAC
RNAcentral lists this ribosomal RNA (295 nucleotides) under uncultured Desulfuromonas sp. Its description in RNAcentral is "partial 16S ribosomal RNA". It matches the Rfam family "Bacterial small subunit ribosomal RNA", at positions 240 to 526 of the family's 1533-position model. The record is from RNAcentral. Lineage: Bacteria; Pseudomonadati; Thermodesulfobacteriota; Desulfuromonadia; Desulfuromonadales; Desulfuromonadaceae.